RNAcentral lists this ribosomal RNA (425 nucleotides) under uncultured bacterium. RNAcentral's name for it is "bacterial SSU rRNA". It matches the Rfam family "Bacterial small subunit ribosomal RNA", at positions 330 to 772 of the family's 1533-position model. The record is from RNAcentral.
ACCAGACUCCUACGGGAGGCAGCAGUGGGGAAUAUUGCACAAUGGGGGAAACCCUGGUGCAGCAACGCCGCGUGAGUGAAGAAGUAUUUCGGUAUGUAAAGCUCUAUCAGCAGGGAAGAGAAUGACGGUACCUGACUAAGAAGCCCCGGCUAACUACGUGCCAGCAGCCGCGGUAAUACGUAGGGGGCGAGCGUUAUCCGGAUUUACUGGGUGUAAAGGGAGCGUAGACGGUUCUGCAAGUCUGAAGUGAAAGCCCGUGGCUUAACCGCGGAACGGCUUUGGAAACUGUGGAACUGGAGUGCUGGAGAGGCAAGCGGAAUUCCUAGUGUAGCGGUGAAAUGCGUAGAUAUUAGGAGGAACACCAGUGGCGAAGGCGGCUUGCUGGACAGUAACUGACGUUGAGGCUCGAAAGCGUGGGGAGCAAA